This 269-nucleotide long non-coding RNA is filed under the name Brassica napus (rape). RNAcentral describes it as "long non-coding RNA (BNAP_LNC016952)". Lineage: Eukaryota; Viridiplantae; Streptophyta; Magnoliopsida; Brassicales; Brassicaceae. The record is from RNAcentral.
GAGCAAAUCGAUUGUAUAUAUAUAUAUAUAUAAUGAGAUCCAUACAUCAUUCAUAUGUUCAUACUACUAGAUUACACACUUAGUCUAUCAUAAGUUCACAAGUUGCACAAUAGGCUAUCAAUACUUCACACUUAUCAAUAAUGACCCAAUCACCACACAUCUUCCCAAGUCUUGAGUCUUCACGGUGCCUUUCAUUUACCAUGGUCCAAGUCCGAUCCUGAAACCAUCCAUAUACAAUGAUCAAUACAUAACCGAUAUCCUAACAUCAA